GAUGAACGCUGGCGGCGUGCUUAACACAUGCAAGUCGAACGAUGAAGCCCAGCUUGCUGGGUGGAUUAGUGGCGAACGGGUGAGUAACACGUGAGUAACCUGCCCUUGACUCUGGGAUAAGCCUGGGAAACUGGGUCUAAUACUGGAUAUGACUUCUCAUCGCAUGGUGGGGGGUGGAAAGAUUUAUUGGUCUUGGAUGGACUCGCGGCCUAUCAGCUUGUUGGCGAGGUAAUGGCUCACCAAGGCGACGACGGGUAGCCGGCCUGAGAGGGUGACCGGCCACACUGGGACUGAGACACGGCCCAGACUCCUACGGGAGGCAGCAGUGGGGAAUAUUGCACAAUGGGCGCAAGCCUGAUGCAGCGACGCCGCGUGAGGGAUGACGGCCUUCGGGUUGUAAACCUCUUUCAGUAGGGAAGAAGCGAGAGUGACGGUACCUGCAGAAGAAGCGCCGGCUAACUACGUG
This 466-nucleotide ribosomal RNA is filed under the name uncultured bacterium. RNAcentral's name for it is "partial 16S ribosomal RNA". It matches the Rfam family "Bacterial small subunit ribosomal RNA", at positions 28 to 507 of the family's 1533-position model. The record is from RNAcentral.